GUCGCUGGGAUUACAGGUGUGCACCACUGUGUCUGACCUGUUUUUUUCUUUUUUACAGAUUAUUAAUUGUUAUAAAAUCAUAUUUAAUGAUUCGGAAAUAUAGCAAACUGAAACAUAUUAUAAAGUAGUUAGCCAGGCACUGUGGUGUACUCCUAUAAUCCCAGCGGC
RNAcentral lists this microRNA precursor (168 nucleotides) under Marmota monax (woodchuck). The record is from RNAcentral. Lineage: Eukaryota; Metazoa; Chordata; Mammalia; Rodentia; Sciuridae.